This 259-nucleotide ribosomal RNA is filed under the name uncultured bacterium. RNAcentral describes it as "partial 16S ribosomal RNA". It matches the Rfam family "Bacterial small subunit ribosomal RNA", at positions 518 to 774 of the family's 1533-position model. The record is from RNAcentral.
CGGUAAAACGUAGGUGGCAAGCGGUUGUCCGGAAUUACUGGGUGUAAAGGGAGCGCAGGCGGAGCUGCAAGUUGGGCGUCAAAUCUACGGGCUUAACCCGUAACCGCGCUCGAAACUGCGGCUCUUGAGUAGUGCAGAGGUAGGCGGAAUUCCCCGGUGUAGCGGUGGAAUGCGUAGAUAUCGGGAGGAGCACCAGUGGCGAAGGCGGCCUACUGGGCACCAACUGACGCUGAGGCUCGAAAGUAUGGGGUAGCAAAAC